RNAcentral lists this ribosomal RNA (490 nucleotides) under Streptococcus mitis. RNAcentral's name for it is "bacterial SSU rRNA". It matches the Rfam family "Bacterial small subunit ribosomal RNA", at positions 28 to 503 of the family's 1533-position model. The record is from RNAcentral. Lineage: Bacteria; Bacillati; Bacillota; Bacilli; Lactobacillales; Streptococcaceae.
GACGAACGCUGCGGCGUGCCUAAUACAUGCAAGUAGAACGCUGAAGGAGGAGCUUGCUUCUCCGGAUGAGUUGCGAACGGGUGAGUAACGCGUAGGUAACCUGCCUGGUAGCGGGGGAUAACUAUUGGAAACGAUAGCUAAUACCGCAUAAUAGCAGUUAUUGCAUGAUAACUGUUUGAAAGGUGCAAUUGCACCACUACCAGAUGGACCUGCGUUGUAUUAGCUAGUUGGUGGGGUAACGGCUCACCAAGGCGACGAUACAUAGCCGACCUGAGAGGGUGAUCGGCCACACUGGGACUGAGACACGGCCCAGACUCCUACGGGAGGCAGCAGUAGGGAAUCUUCGGCAAUGGACGGAAGUCUGACCGAGCAACGCCGCGUGAGUGAAGAAGGUUUUCGGAUCGUAAAGCUCUGUUGUAAGAGAAGAACGAGUGUGAGAGUGGAAAGUUCACACUGUGACGGUAUCUUACCAGAAAGGGACGGCUAAACA